CACAGAUAAAGGGGCAAGACGAUGGGGGCAUUUGUCAUCAAAAGCAACCCAUUGGGAAGUGGACUUGUCGUACCAGAGCACGAUUUCACGACCCAGAAGCUGAAAAGGUGUGGGUAAGAGAGGGUUCAGAUCCUCAAUUAACGAAACAGGGUACCAGUGAUCCCUCCAAGUGAACUUAGAGGAAGAGCUCUCCUCGUUAAACUCUUCCUCAUUCUCCUCCUUUUCGGUUUCAGGGAACGACUGAUCGGUUUCAACCGUUGAGGGUGGCGCCGCAACGCGUGCAGGGGUAAGCAAAGGGCUUCUUCCGCUUCUGGGUCGAGUUUCUUUCGUGAAAAAUUCGGUACCCUUGUUCGAGAAG
Molecule: long non-coding RNA, 358 nt
Filed under: Vigna radiata
Lineage: Eukaryota; Viridiplantae; Streptophyta; Magnoliopsida; Fabales; Fabaceae
Description: long non-coding RNA (VRAD_LNC001536)
Source: RNAcentral